AACGUAGGAGGCAAGCGUUAUCCGGAUUUACUGGGCGUAAAGGGCGUGCAGGUGGCUGUGUAAGUGGUGCGUGAAAGCGCUCGGCUCAACCGGGCGAGGGCGUGCCAAACUGCACAACUAGAAACAGACAGAGGCAAGUGGAAUUCGGGGUGUAGUGGUGAAAUGCGUAGAGAUCCCGAGGAACUCCUGUGGCGAAGGCGACUUGCUGGGUCUGGUUUGACACUCAGACGCGAAAGCAUGGGGAGCGAACGGG
Molecule: ribosomal RNA, 253 nt
Filed under: uncultured bacterium
Lineage: Bacteria
Description: partial 16S ribosomal RNA
Rfam family: Bacterial small subunit ribosomal RNA
Source: RNAcentral